CACAUUUGAAAGUGUAUGCACCUAAGGAAGUUGACUAUAGAAGGCUAGCUGUGACCAAUCAUACCAAGACAAAAUUAGUGCAAAUUACUCAGGAGUUUCUAUUUGCUUAUGAUAUUUUGAGUACUCUAUGAAUUGAAAAUAUUUCUCCAAGUCCUGAAUUCAAUGGUAAAGGACAGAACAAUGGGUGGGGAAGAGGGGGGGCGACAUCAAGGUCCAUCUAUAGAGGCAACUA
Molecule: long non-coding RNA, 232 nt
Filed under: Vitis vinifera (wine grape)
Lineage: Eukaryota; Viridiplantae; Streptophyta; Magnoliopsida; Vitales; Vitaceae
Description: long non-coding RNA (VVIN_LNC005467)
Source: RNAcentral